RNAcentral lists this ribosomal RNA (253 nucleotides) under uncultured bacterium. Its description in RNAcentral is "partial 16S ribosomal RNA". It matches the Rfam family "Bacterial small subunit ribosomal RNA", at positions 524 to 776 of the family's 1533-position model. The record is from RNAcentral.
UACGUAGGGUGCGAGCGUUGUCCGGAAUUAUUGGGCGUAAAGGGCUCGUAGGCGGUCCAUCGCGUCGGGAGUGAAAAGCUGGGGCUUAACCCCAGUCCUGCUUCCGAUACGGGUGGGCUAGAGGUAGGUAGGGGAGAACGGAAUUCCUGGUGUAGCGGUGAAAUGCGUAGAUAUUGGAAAGACCACCGAUGGCGAAGGCGCUCUACUGGGCCACUACUGACACUGAGAGACGAAAGCUAGGGGAGCAAAUGGG